AUCUUGCUGACGAGUGCCAACAAGCAUGAAACUUAGGUCCAAGAU
This 45-nucleotide non-coding RNA is filed under the name Trichobilharzia regenti. The record is from RNAcentral. Lineage: Eukaryota; Metazoa; Platyhelminthes; Trematoda; Strigeidida; Schistosomatidae.